Molecule: ribosomal RNA, 163 nt
Filed under: uncultured bacterium
Lineage: Bacteria
Description: partial 16S ribosomal RNA
Rfam family: Bacterial small subunit ribosomal RNA
Source: RNAcentral
GGGCGCGAAUAUUAGCACAAUGGGCGAAAGCCUGAUGCAGCAACGCCGCGUGAGGGAUGACGGCCUUCGGGUUGUAAACCUCUUUUAGCAGGGAAGAAGCGAAAGUGACGGUACCUGCAGAAAAAGCGCCGGCUAACUACGUGCCAGCAGCCGCGGUAAUUAA